GAAGGUGGCCUGUGAGGGUUGCUGGAGGUAUCAGAAGUGCGAAUGCUGACAUAAGUAACGAUAAAGCGGGUGAAAAGCCCGCUCGCCGGAAGACCAAGGGUUCCUGUCCAACGUUAAUCGGGGCAGGGUGAGUCGACCCCUAAGGCGAGGCCGAAAGGCGUAGUCGAUGGGAAACGGGUUAAUAUUCCCGUACUUGGUGUUACUGCGAAGGGGGGACGGAGAAGGCUAUGUUGGCCGGGCGACGGUUGUCCCGGUUUAAGCGUGUAGGUGUGUGUUCCAGGUAAAUCCGGUUCACUUUAACACUGAGGCGUGACGACGAGGCACUACGGUGCUGAAGCAACAAAUGCCCUGCUUCCAGGAAAAGCCUCUAAGCAUCAGGUAACAUCAAAUCGUACCCCAAACCGACACAGGUGGUCAGGUAGAGAAUACCAAGGCGCUUGAGAGAACUCGGGUGAAGGAACUAGGCAAAAUGGUGCCGUAACUUCGGGAGAAGGCACGCUGACACGUAGGUGAAGUGAUUUACUCAUGGAGCUGAAGUCAGUCGAAGAUACCAGCUGGCUGCAACUGUUUAUUAAAAACACAGCACUGUGCAAACACGAAAGUGGACGUAUACGGUGUGACGCCUGCCCGGUGCCGGAAGGUUAAUUGAUGGGGUCAGCGCAAGCGAAGCUCCUGAUCGAAGCCCCGGUAAACGGCGGCCGUAACUAUAACGGUCCUAAGGUAGCGAAAUUCCUUGUCGGGUAAGUUCCGACCUGCACGAAUGGCGUAAUGAUGGCCAGGCUGUCUCCACCCGAGACUCAGUGAAAUUGAACUCGCUGUGAAGAUGCAGUGUACCCGCGGCAAGACGGAAAGACCCCGUGAACCUUUACUAUAGCUUGACACUGAACAUUGAGCCUUGAUGUGUAGGAUAGGUGGGAGGCUUUGAAGCGUGGACGCCAGUCUGCGUGGAGCCGACCUUGAAAUACCACCCUUUAAUGUUUGAUGUUCUAACGUGGACCCGUUACCCGGGUUGCGGACAGUGUCUGGUGGGUAGUUUGACUGGGGCGGUCUCCUCCUAAAGAGUAACGGAGGAGCACGAAGGUUGGCUAAUCCUGGUCGGACAUCAGGAGGUUAGUGCAAUGGCAUAAGCCAGCUUGACUGCGAGCGUGACGGCGCGAGCAGGUGCGAAAGCAGGUCAUAGUGAUCCGGUGGUUCUGAAUGGAAGGGCCAUCGCUCAACGGAUAAAAGGUACUCCGGGGAUAACAGGCUGAUACCGCCCAAGAGUUCAUAUCGACGGCGGUGUUUGGCACCUCGAUGUCGGCUCAUCACAUCCUGGGGCUGAAGUAGGUCCCAAGGGUAUGGCUGUUCGCCAUUUAAAGUGGUACGCGAGCUGGGUUUAGAACGUCGUGAGACAGUUCGGUCCCUAUCUGCCGUGGGCGCUGGAGAACUGAGGGGGGCUGCUCCUAGUACGAGAGGACCGGAGUGGACGCAUCACUGGUGUUCGGGUUGUCAUGCCAAUGGCACUGCCCGGUAGCUAAAUGCGGAAGAGAUAAGUGCUGAAAGCAUCUAAGCACGAAACUUGCCCCGAGAUGAGUUCUCCCUGAGACUUAGAGUCUCCUGAAGGAACGUUGAAGACGACGACGUUGAUAGGCCGGGUGUGUAAGCGCAGCGAUGCGUUGAGCUAACCGGUACUAAUGAACCGUGAGGCUUAACCUUACAACGCCGAAG
Molecule: ribosomal RNA, 1707 nt
Filed under: Salmonella enterica
Lineage: Bacteria; Pseudomonadati; Pseudomonadota; Gammaproteobacteria; Enterobacterales; Enterobacteriaceae
Also listed under: 1 other name
Description: bacterial LSU rRNA
Rfam family: Bacterial large subunit ribosomal RNA
Source: RNAcentral